Oncorhynchus masou masou (cherry salmon) is the source of this 503-nucleotide long non-coding RNA. RefSeq lists it as uncharacterized. NCBI's taxonomy places the organism in Eukaryota, Metazoa, Chordata, Actinopteri, Salmoniformes, Salmonidae. The record is from RefSeq and is a predicted model, not a curated record. The transcript is spliced from 4 exons.
UUCAGCCAUAGAUUCCAUGACCAUUGUAUGUCAAUCAUGGUGUGUGUGUGUACAGCUAUAGCCCCCUCUCUUUUCCCAUCCCCUGGUGAUUAGCUGUCAGUGGUGGCCUCUUGCUGAGAGAGCGACAGAGAGAGAGAUGCAGUAAGGCCUUGGGAAGGAGGGAGACGAAGAGGGAGUGUGAAAGAAAAAGAGAGAUAUAGAGACAGAUACUGACAGAAUGAGAUGAGCCUGAAGCUGCAGAUGAUCAGGAAACAGAAGAGAACCAAACAGAGAAAGUGACGGAGUGUUAAAACCUCUUUAGAUCUCUAUAAGAGCAUGUGGUCUCCUCUCCAGCUCCCAUCAACCCCCAGGAGAAGAUGAAGGGAGCUUUGAGUCUCUCAGGCGGAAGGUUGAAGCACAUCCCCAACACUCAGACAAAUGUGAAGAAGCUGGGAACCUCCCAGCCAUCAUCUUGUUCUUGGAGUUUAUUCACAAGGUCAGAUAUAAAUAGAUCCACACAUGUU